RNAcentral lists this ribosomal RNA (492 nucleotides) under uncultured bacterium. Its description in RNAcentral is "partial 16S ribosomal RNA". It matches the Rfam family "Bacterial small subunit ribosomal RNA", at positions 29 to 507 of the family's 1533-position model. The record is from RNAcentral.
AGUGAACGCUGGCGGUAGGCCUAACACAUGCAAGUCGAACGGCAGCACAGUAAGAGCUUGCUCUUACGGGUGGCGAGUGGCGGACGGGUGAGGAAUACAUCGGAAUCUACUUUUUCGUGGGGGAUAACGUAGGGAAACUUACGCUAAUACCGCAUACGACCUACGGGUGAAAGCAGGGGAUCUUCGGACCUUGCGCGAUUGAAUGAGCCGAUGUCGGAUUAGCUAGUUGGCGGGGUAAAGGCCCACCAAGGCGACGAUCCGUAGCUGGUCUGAGAGGAUGAGCAGCCACACUGGAACUGAGACACGGUCCAGACUCCUACGGGAGGCAGCAGUGGGGAAUAUUGGACAAUGGGCGCAAGCCUGAUCCAGCCAUACCGCGUGGGUGAAGAAGGCCUUCGGGUUGUAAAGCCCUUUUGUUGGGAAAGAAGAGCAGCAGGUUAAUACCCCGCUGUUCUGACGGUACCCAAAGAAUAAGCACCGGCUAACUUCGUG